AACAAUUUAUAUUUUAUUUUGUACAUAUAAUUCAUUAAUUUGUACAAUUCAAGUAAGAAUAUAUAAUGUAUUAGAUAUGGAUUAUAUAUUUAAGUAGAACCAUGACGUAUUAUCACCAGGCAUAUCCUACCUUCAACCAUUAAAGUCUGAUGUUUGACUUCAAAAACAUUAUACAUAUCUCCUUCUGUUGGUACAUUGUAUUAAUAUCUAUAACAAGAGUGCACACGCUGAAAUGUCUCGCCUUCUAUACUAAUCAUUGAUAUUAUGUUGAUAGUCCUAAGUAUAAAGCUUUAUUACAACUGUCUCAUAAACUUAACAUUAACCAAGAUAACUAAACAAAGACCAAUGAACCAUGAAAAUGAGGUCAAGGUCAGAUGAACCAUGCCAGGCAGACAUGUACAGCUAACAAUGCUUAUAUACAACAUAUAUAGUUGACCUAUUACUUAUAGUUUAAGAAAAAUAGACCAAAACACAAAAACUUAACACUGUGCAAUGAACCAUGAAAAUGAGGUCAGGGUCAAAAGAAACCUG
RNAcentral lists this long non-coding RNA (531 nucleotides) under Mytilus galloprovincialis (Mediterranean mussel). The record is from RNAcentral. Lineage: Eukaryota; Metazoa; Mollusca; Bivalvia; Mytilida; Mytilidae.